RNAcentral lists this unclassified non-coding RNA (296 nucleotides) under Hevea brasiliensis (rubber tree). The record is from RNAcentral. Lineage: Eukaryota; Viridiplantae; Streptophyta; Magnoliopsida; Malpighiales; Euphorbiaceae.
AUUAAUUUCUAUACUAUCUAAUGCGAGGAGAUGCUGAUGGAGUAAAGUUGAGUUCUGAGAUUCAUCUCCCUCCUUCCCGUUUCAGCUGCUUGGAGGGUCUGAGACGACAGGUGGGUUGCAGGAGCUCUUCUUGGAUUUGGUUAGGCUUCGUUAGCCUUUCUUUAAUGGUAGCUAGAACCCUUUUGUUGUGUUUCUUUGGUUGUGAUCGUCGCCCACGGAGGAUGGCAAGGUCGGCGCUGCAAGGUGCUUCAGCUGUUAAUUUGUAAAGGGGUCCGGGUCAGCCAUAAUGGGACGAA